UCCCUGGUGGCUCAGAGGUUAAAGUGUCUGCCUCCAAUGCGGGAGACCUGGGUUUGAUCCCUGGUUUGGGAA
RNAcentral lists this transfer RNA (72 nucleotides) under Ovis aries (sheep). It matches the Rfam family "tRNA". From Rfam's summary of the family: Transfer RNA (tRNA) molecules are approximately 80 nucleotides in length. The record is from Rfam by way of RNAcentral. Lineage: Eukaryota; Metazoa; Chordata; Mammalia; Artiodactyla; Bovidae.